This is a non-coding RNA of Misgurnus anguillicaudatus (oriental weatherfish), 1004 nucleotides long. NCBI's taxonomy places the organism in Eukaryota, Metazoa, Chordata, Actinopteri, Cypriniformes, Cobitidae. The record is from RefSeq and is a predicted model, not a curated record.
AGGGAAUGAAUUGAGACACAGCCCUGGAUGUAAUCACGUCUGUGCUGAUCACGUGCCUGUACACAAACCCGCAGCUCACUUGCAAAAGAUUAUCCGGUUAUUUAUUACACGUAAAGUAAACGUUUUUAAUGUUAUCAUGAAUCAAUGUUAUAGUUUUGUAUGUCACAUUAUUUUUUGAGAAGAGUCAUGACUGAACGCGGACCUUACACGCUGUUAUUUUUUUGUGUGCGUAUGGCCAAGGUACAGUGCGCUCUUUUGCACUAUGACCAGCCAUCAGUAAAUCGAAAUACAGUAAAAAAAAAUGAGCGCGAAACCCUGACACUUUACAGAAAGGCACGGAUAUCCCCGCCCGAAGAAAAAAAGAACACAGGACAAUGGUUGCAAGUUAAACAGCUGGUAAGUAAAAUGAGUAAUCCUGUGAUUUCUUAACAUAUUUAAUUUUUUAUUUGGUUAAUUAAUUUGAAACACUUAACAACACGCAGUUAACGGUAAUUUACCUCACACGUUAGGACUGUUGUGACUAAACAGAUAGGGAGAGAGCUUUGUGGUGAAAACUCUUUUUAAGACUCAACAAAACUUUCGGUGCAAGUUAUCAUAUUUAUUUCUUUUCCUUUUUAGAACAUUUCACCAUCUGCAAAGGUCACAACAACGACGGCAGAUGUAGAGACCACGCUUUUCCUUGCUUCCACUCCACGGCUGAUCAUGCUUGAGGAUCCAGAUCUACAAAACAAAAAAUGGAUGCUGCCGAUUGAAGGCUAAGUCCGAUUUCCUGCGAUUGACCUACCAUUUCUUCAGCAUUUGCUGUUCACUUUGGUUGCUACUACGUGCUCAACAUCGAGUACCAUGUGCAAGCAGCCACUACUUUGGAGUUUAUUCAGAGAUUUAUUGUGAGGAUCAGCCCCGACAACAGCAAGUGCUCCUCUAACUUCCAGGUGAGCAAAAGAAGUGGGAAGAUGGUGCAAAGGAAGAACUCUGGCCUGAACCACCUUUAUUAAGGACUUUAU